GAUGAACGCUGGCGGCGUGCCUAAUACAUGCGAGUCGAGCGAACGGACGAGAAGCUUGCUUCUCUGAUGUUAGCGGCGGACGGGUGAGUAACACGUGGAUAACCUACCUAUAAGACUGGGAUAACUUCGGGAAACCGGAGCUAAUACCGGAUAAUAUUUUGAACCGCAUGGUUCAAAAGUGAAAGACGGUCUUGCUGUCACUUAUAGAUGGAUCCGCGCUGCAUUAGCUAGUUGGUAAGGUAACGGCUUACCAAGGCAACGAUGCAUAGCCGACCUGAGAGGGGGAUCGGCCACACUGGAACUGAGACACGGUCCAGACUCCUACGGGAGGCAGCAGUAGGGAAUCUUCCGCAAUGGGCGAAAGCCUGACGGAGCAACGCCGCGUGAGUGAUGAAGGUCUUCGGAUCGUAAAACUCUGUUAUUAGGGAAGAACAGAUGUGUAAGUAACUGUGCACAUCUUGACGGUACCUAAUCAGAAAGCCACGGCUAACUACGUG
This 497-nucleotide ribosomal RNA is filed under the name uncultured bacterium. RNAcentral describes it as "partial 16S ribosomal RNA". It matches the Rfam family "Bacterial small subunit ribosomal RNA", at positions 28 to 507 of the family's 1533-position model. The record is from RNAcentral.